RNAcentral lists this transfer RNA (94 nucleotides) under Akkermansia sp. NBRC 115031. Its description in RNAcentral is "tRNA-Asn". Lineage: Bacteria; Pseudomonadati; Verrucomicrobiota; Verrucomicrobiia; Verrucomicrobiales; Akkermansiaceae. The record is from RNAcentral.
CAUGUUCUGGGUGAUGGUGGUGGUGCCUUCCGUUGUUCCCGGAGCCAUGGUGGUGGUCAGGAACAGGUUGUUCAGCAGGCGUCCGGAAAUGUCC